CGCGCAGGCGCAUACUUAUUCUCUGCGCGGCGUCCGUUUCUCCAGACUUUCCACUUUUGGCAAGCUAUGUUCCCUGGCUUGUGUCCAGUCUACAAAAGGUCUUAAAACCACGGAGCAGGGCUUUAAGCGUUUAGGAUCUCGCUUUUUGCAGGCUUUUGACAAGAAGGCUCAGAUCUCCACUAACCAGUGGCCACAUUUUACCAUCAUGAUCAUUGAGUAGCUCACAACCAAACCGUUUGCUUUAUCACAGCAAGAAGAGUGAGGAGAGCCAAAAAUGUCACAGAAGGGAGAAGCUGGAGGAAACUGAGGAGGAGGGCAACCCUGUAGGAGGACCAGCAGUCUCAACCUGGACCCUGAGAUCUCUCAGACACUGGACCACCAACCAGGCAGCAUGCACCAGCUGAUAUGAGGCCCCCAGCACAUAUACAGCAGAGGACUGCCAGGUCUGCGUACAGUCAGAGAAGAUGCACCUAACUCUCGAGACUGGAGGUCCCAGGAGAGGGGAGGUCUGAUGGGGGAGCAUCCUCGUGGAGACCGGAGGAGGAGGUAUGGGAUGUGGAACAGUCAGAGAGUAGACCCAGAGGGGGAUAAAAUCUGGAGUGUAAAAAAAAAAAAAAAAAAGAAAUAAAAUUUAAAA
RNAcentral lists this long non-coding RNA (637 nucleotides) under Rattus norvegicus (Norway rat). RNAcentral describes it as "long non-coding RNA NONRATT000243". Lineage: Eukaryota; Metazoa; Chordata; Mammalia; Rodentia; Muridae. The record is from RNAcentral.